This is a long non-coding RNA of Pezoporus occidentalis (night parrot), 1282 nucleotides long. RefSeq lists it as uncharacterized. The transcript is spliced from 3 exons. Lineage: Eukaryota; Metazoa; Chordata; Aves; Psittaciformes; Psittacidae. The record is from RefSeq and is a predicted model, not a curated record.
CACCAUCCUUACAAUAAAGAACUACCUCCUUAUAUCCGAUCUAAACUUCCCCUGUUUAAGUUUUAACCCGUUACCCCUUGUCCUAUCACUACAGUCCCUAAUGAAGAGUCCCUCCCCAGCAUCCUUAUAGGACCCCUUCAGAUACUGGAAGGCUGCUAUGAGGUCUCCACACAGUUCCUUCUCUUUCUGACUUCACAGAUGUUUUGGAUCCAAGACAUACUGGUUCUUGGUCAUUUCUACUGUCGUUUUUGUCAUACCAAACUGGGAUUACUGCAGCUAGUCCAGAUAGCUAGUCCAUUACUAGUCUUUCAGAGAUCGCAUAUCUGUUUGCAAACUUCUGCACAUUCUGAACUUAGAUUGCUUUAAGUCCUUUGAUGGCAUCUUCAGUUCUGUUAGAUUUUCCUAAACGUUCUUCAGAUCAACUUUGAAGUCAGAGACCUCCUCUGUUGUUUCACUAUAACUCAUAUUCUUUCUUUUUAAAAAUUGAAAUUGCUGCUGACACCUUUAAAGCUUUUCUAUAGUGGUUAGCCAGUAGCUAACAUUUGUACAAUCAUUAUUUUAGUAGCUAAAUGUUUCAGUUUGUUUGCCUGGGCAUUUCUUACGUGGUCUUAUGCAGUGGCUACUGGGUAUGCUAAAUGCAUGGUUUUUCUGAGGCAUCAAAAGGAACCAUACAUUUCAUUGUUCUCUGAUUCAUAACUGGUGAGUAAACCAUUUCAUGGUUAAACGUUCAUCUUAAAGGUAUUAAAUUUUAGCACUAUUUAGAAUUAACUCCUUUAUUAAUACUGAAACUUUUACCCCAAAUGAAAAUUUUCAGUUUAACCCAUCCUUUUUAUUUAAAAAUUAGCAGGUCAUAUAAAUAUUUUGUAAGGAGUCAUUGAAAAGGAAAUAGAAUUGACCUGUGUCAGAUAUACUGUGGUUUGUAUUUCCAGAAGUUCUCGUUUCAUUGUAAAACGUAUUUCAGUGUCAGUUCACAGACCCCUUGUGUUCCAGCUCCAGAAUUCUUCCAGGUGGCACCAACAUUUUGUGGUGAGCUUUAUCAUGAAGUUUGGACUCAGCAGGUCAAGUGCUUUUGCCUGUGGCUUACACUGAUUUAGGCAGCAUUCAAUUCUGGAAACGAGAGAGUCCAGUACCAUACAACAUUUUAACAACAGAUUCAUCUGGUUAAGAAAAUACUAGAUGCUUGGUCCUUACCAUGUGAAUAUUAAAAGCCUGGAAAACAUCACUGCAAGUGAAGCUGCCUUUUGAGUCUCCCAAAAACAAGUAUGGGGAAGCGUCUGAAGGA